UACGUAGGGAGCAAGCGUUGUUCGGAUUUACUGGGCGUAAAGGGCGCGUAGGCGGCGCGGUAAGUCACUUGUGAAAUCUCUGAGCUUAACUCAGAACGGCCAAGUGAUACUGCAGUGCUAGAGUGCAGAAAGGGCAAUCGGAAUUCUUGGUGUAGCGGUGAAAUGCGUAGAUAUCAAGAGGAACACCUGAGGCGGAGGCGGGUUGCUAGGCUGACACUGACGCUGAGGCGCGAAAGCCAGGGGAGCAAACGGG
This 253-nucleotide ribosomal RNA is filed under the name uncultured bacterium. RNAcentral describes it as "partial 16S ribosomal RNA". It matches the Rfam family "Bacterial small subunit ribosomal RNA", at positions 524 to 776 of the family's 1533-position model. The record is from RNAcentral.